Molecule: microRNA precursor, 151 nt
Filed under: Morus notabilis
Lineage: Eukaryota; Viridiplantae; Streptophyta; Magnoliopsida; Rosales; Moraceae
Source: RNAcentral
AGAGUGAACAUGAGCCAAGAAUGACUUGCCGAUGUAUUGGUUUUUUUCUUUUUUUUCUUUUUUUUUUUUUUUCAGAAUGGUAAAGCAUUAUCCAUAGACGAUGGAGCUACAAAUAUUUCGGCAAGCAUUUCUUAGCUCUGUUUGGCUCUCU